RNAcentral lists this long non-coding RNA (637 nucleotides) under Cottoperca gobio. RNAcentral describes it as "lncRNA (ENSCGOG00000011209.1)". The record is from RNAcentral. Lineage: Eukaryota; Metazoa; Chordata; Actinopteri; Perciformes; Bovichtidae.
CUUUCCCACCCCAUGACAUGGACCCAGAAAUGGGCAGUGUGAAGAAAGCGGAGAUGACUUCACAACUACAGCGCCAUGAAGCACCGGGAUCAUCUAACCGUAAAGGUAUAAAAACACAAAACCCUCCAAAUGUUUUCACCGCGACAAACAACAUGUAAUGUAAUGAUCGAUGUAAGAAACUCACUGAGCUGCUUCAAUUCAGUUUAAAUAUUGGAAUUGGGGGCAGAUAGCUGUUUUUCUUUAUGUUUGAAUCGCUUCAUACUUUUUUCCCAUCCCCACAUUUAGGUAUGGAUCCCUCAUCGACUGCUUCUUUAAAGACGAAGGUGCAAAAACAUCAGAUCAAGUUUGAUGCUGAAGACGACUGCAGAGAGAAAACAGUGAGGUUCACUGCUGACGAUGCAGCUAUGGAUGUGACAAGGAGUCACACUGUAAACAUUGCCACUGACUUACCACCACAGUCUUACCACAAUGUGGGAAUGUUACCUGCAUACGGAGAGAAAACCAUGAGGUUCACUGCAACUGAUGCAGCUAUGGAUGUGACAAGGAAGUCACACUGUAAGCAUUGCCACUGACUUAGAACUGCAAUCAAACCAAAAUCUGGACUUUUUACCUGCUUGCGGAGAGAAAACGGUGAGGU